RNAcentral lists this ribosomal RNA (398 nucleotides) under uncultured bacterium. RNAcentral's name for it is "bacterial SSU rRNA". It matches the Rfam family "Bacterial small subunit ribosomal RNA", at positions 358 to 773 of the family's 1533-position model. The record is from RNAcentral.
GGAAUCUUAGACAAUGGGCGCAAGCCUGAUCUAGCCAUGCCGCGUGAGUGAUGAAGGCCUUAGGGUCGUAAAGCUCUUUCGCCAGAGAUGAUAAUGACAGUAUCUGGUAAAGAAACCCAGGCUAACUCCGUUCCAGCAGCCGCGGUAAUAAGGAGGGGGUUAGCGUUGUUCGGAAUUACUGGGCGUAAAGCGCCCGUAGGCGGAUCAGAAAGUUGGGGGUGAAAUCCCAGGGCGCAACCCUGGAACGGCCUCCAAAACUCCUGGUCUUGAGUUCGAGAGAGGUGAGUGGAAUUCCGAGUGUAGAGGUGAAAUUCGUAGAUAUUCGGAGGAACACCAGUGGCGAAGGCGGCUCACUGGCUCGAUACUGACGCUGAGGUGCGAAAGUGUGGGGAGCAAAC